UACGGAGGGUCCAAGCGUUAUCCGGAAUCAUUGGGUUUAAAGGGUCCGCAGGCGGGCUAUUAAGUCAGUGGUGAAAUCUCUUAGCUUAACUAAGAAAUUGCCAUUGAAACUACUAGUCUUGAAUUCGGUCGAAGUGGGCGGAAUGUGUCAUGUAGCGGUGAAAUGCAUAGAUAUGACACAGAACACCGAUAGCGAAGGCAGCUCACUAGGCCUGAAUUGACGCUCAGGGACGAAAGCGUGGGGAGCGAACAGG
Molecule: ribosomal RNA, 253 nt
Filed under: uncultured prokaryote
Description: partial 16S ribosomal RNA
Rfam family: Bacterial small subunit ribosomal RNA
Source: RNAcentral